RNAcentral lists this ribosomal RNA (253 nucleotides) under uncultured bacterium. RNAcentral's name for it is "partial 16S ribosomal RNA". It matches the Rfam family "Bacterial small subunit ribosomal RNA", at positions 524 to 776 of the family's 1533-position model. The record is from RNAcentral.
GACAGAGGCCUCGAGCGUUAGGCAGAAUCACUAACCUUAAAACGUGUGUAGGCAGGCCCGUAAGUGUCUUGUGAAAUCCUCCGGCUCAACCGGGGAAGGGCCUCGGGUACGGGCGGCCUCGAGGGGGGUAGGGGCGUGCGGAACUGUGGGUGGAGCGGUGAAAUGCGUUGAGAUCCACAGGAACUCCGGCGGCGAAGGCGGCACGCUGGACCCCAUCUGACGCUGAGGCGCGAAAGCCAGGGGAGCGAACGGG